This 926-nucleotide long non-coding RNA is filed under the name Helianthus annuus (common sunflower). RNAcentral's name for it is "hypothetical non coding rna". The record is from RNAcentral. Lineage: Eukaryota; Viridiplantae; Streptophyta; Magnoliopsida; Asterales; Asteraceae.
GUAUCUCCUUCUCCUUCUCCUGUACGCUUCUUCCUUCUAAUACAAUCUCCUGUACUCUUCUCCCUUCCCAAUCCGUCAUCGAAACCCUCAAGUCAAAAUUUGACUCGUGGCCUCAAUCGACUUAUGUGGUAGCAUCCGAGGGGAGUAGAGGAAAGGUGCCUGUUCUAAAAUGACAACGGCUUGACGUUAAGGGCCGCUUGAAGUUGCUUUUCAUUAUGGUGCUUAAAUAUGAAAUCAUGAGUUGAUAAGAAGGAUGCCUGAAUUAAAACGUCGGAACUUCAAAUUAAAGCACACUCGCUUCAUCUUCCCUUAGCCCACCGUUUCCUUCUCUUCCCCUCACCCCUCCAGACCAUACAAAUCCCAUAACAAACCAGAACCCUAGCAAAAUUCAAUUCAUCUCUCAAUCUCACUUCUCUCUCUCGAGAUCUGGAACCCUAGCUUCCUCCAUCGCCCUCCAAUCGGACGACAAAGAACCGGAGAUGAAAAAAAAUGACGAUCAAAUCGAAGGUGAACACCGAUUUCUGAGAAACCCGAACGGAUUUGCAGAUGGUAUUCGGAACUGUGUUCUCUUUAGUAAAAACUAAUUACCCAAAAUACCCCUAUAAAUCCCAAUGCUUUUUUCACCGACAAGAAAGGUCCAUUAGCAUGUAUGCUGAAUAUAUGCCCAACCAAAAUAAAAAAUCACGAUCUGUAAUCAUAAGAUCUGAACUUGCCAGUACUGGGUCACCUGGAACAUCCUAUCAAUUAUCAGAAAUUCUUAUCUAGAAAUAAAUAUGCAAGAGCUGAGGAAGUUUCAACAUCUGUAUGAAAACAUUUGGCUUGAUAGUAGUUUGUCAUAUUUGCAUAAAUAGUGAAUUCUGUUGUAAAAGACUAAGAACAUGCCUUUUCUAAUAUUUAUUUUUGAUCCACAAAGUAUGUGAAUGACU